GAUGAACGCUGGCGGCGUGCUUAACACAUGCAAGUCGAACGGGAAUUACUUUAUUGAAACUUCGGUCGAUUUAAUUUAAUUCUAGUGGCGGACGGGUGAGUAACGCGUGGGUAACCUGCCUUAUACUGGGGGAUAACAGCCAGAAAUGACUGCUAAUACCGCAUAAGCGCACAGAACCGCAUGGUUCGGUGUGAAAAACUCCGGUGGUAUAAGAUGGACCCGCGUUGGAUUAGCUAGUUGGCAGGGCAGCGGCCUACCAAGGCGACGAUCCAUAGCCGGCCUGAGAGGGUGAACGGCCACAUUGGGACUGAGACACGGCCCAGACUCCUACGGGAGGCAGCAGUGGGGAAUAUUGCACAAUGGGGGAAACCCUGAUGCAGCGACGCCGCGUGAAGGAAGAAGUAUCUCGGUAUGUAAA
RNAcentral lists this ribosomal RNA (418 nucleotides) under uncultured bacterium. Its description in RNAcentral is "bacterial SSU rRNA". It matches the Rfam family "Bacterial small subunit ribosomal RNA", at positions 28 to 429 of the family's 1533-position model. The record is from RNAcentral.